GAUGAACGCUGGCGGCGUGCCUAAUACAUGCAAGUCGAGCGAACAGAUAAGGAGCUUGCUCCUUUGACGUUAGCGGCGGACGGGUGAGUAACACGUGGGUAACCUACCUAUAAGACUGGAAUAACUCCGGGAAACCGGGGCUAAUGCCGGAUAACAUUUAGAACCGCAUGGUUCUAAAGUGAAAGAUGGUUUUGCUAUCACUUAUAGAUGGACCCGCGCCGUAUUAGCUAGUUGGUAAGGUAACGGCUUACCAAGGCAACGAUACGUAGCCGACCUGAGAGGGUGAUCGGCCACACUGGAACUGAGACACGGUCCAGACUCCUACGGGAGGCAGCAGUAGGGAAUCUUCCGCAAUGGGCGAAAGCCUGACGGAGCAACGCCGCGUGAGUGAUGAAGGUCUUCGGAUCGUAAGACUCUGUUAUUAGGGAAGAACAAAUGUGUAAGUAACUGUGCACGUCUUGACGGUACCUAAUCAGAAAGCCACGGCUAACUACGUG
RNAcentral lists this ribosomal RNA (497 nucleotides) under uncultured bacterium. Its description in RNAcentral is "partial 16S ribosomal RNA". It matches the Rfam family "Bacterial small subunit ribosomal RNA", at positions 28 to 507 of the family's 1533-position model. The record is from RNAcentral.